AGAUAGACAGAUAGACAGUCAGAUAGACAGGUAGACAGUCAGAUAGACAGGUAGACAGACAGAUAGACAGGUAGACAGUCAGAUAAACAGGUAGACAGUCAGAUAAAGAGGUAGACAGUCAGAUAAACAGGUAGACAGACAGAUAGACAGGUAGAUAAACAGGUAGACAGACAGAUAAACAGGUAGAAAGACAGAUAAACAGGUAGACAGUCAGAUAGACAGGUAGACAGACAGGUAGACAGGUAGACAGACAGAUAGACAGGUAGAUAGACAGGUAGACAGACAGAUAAACAGGUAGACAGUCAGACAGGUAGACAGACAGAUAGACAGGUAGAUAGACAGAUAGACAGUCUGAUAAACAGGUAGACAGACAGAUAGACAGUCUGAUAAACAGGUAGACAGACAGAUAAACAGGUAGACAGUCAGAUAAACAGGUAGACAGUCAGAUAAACAGGUAGACAGUCAGACAGUCAGGUAGACAGGUAGACAGUCAGACAGACAGGUAGACAGGUAGACAGUGAAAUAAACAGGCAGAUCUUUGGUCAAUAUAGUUUUUUAUUACAGUAAAUUAAAUACAUUGUAAAAAUGUGUUUUUAUAAUAUUCCUAUAACGAUACAGGUGGGGUGAGUCCCAAUGAACGACCCACAGGGUGAUUCCCAAUGUAGCCUCGUCUGACCCAGAACGACCCAUAGGGUGAUUCCCGAUGUAGUCUCGUCUGACCCAGAACGACCCAUAGGGUGAUUCCCGAUGUAGUCUCGUCUGAUCCAGAACGACCCAUAGGGUUAGCCCUAGUAGAGCAGUCUGAUCCAGAACGACCCAUAGGGUUAGCCCUAGUAGAGCAGUCUGAUCCAGAACGACCCAUAGGGUUAGCCCUAGUAGAGCAGUCUGAUCCAGAACGAC
Molecule: long non-coding RNA, 900 nt
Filed under: Salmo salar (Atlantic salmon)
Lineage: Eukaryota; Metazoa; Chordata; Actinopteri; Salmoniformes; Salmonidae
Description: lncRNA (ENSSSAG00000117913.1)
Source: RNAcentral